GAGACAUAGCUCAGCUGGUUAGAGCAUCCGCUUGACGUGCGGAAGGUCUAGGGUUCGAAUCCCUCUGUCUCC
Molecule: transfer RNA, 72 nt
Filed under: bovine gut metagenome
Rfam family: tRNA
About the family: Transfer RNA (tRNA) molecules are approximately 80 nucleotides in length. Their secondary structure includes four short double-helical elements and three loops (D, anti-codon, and T loops). Further hydrogen bonds mediate the characteristic L-shaped molecular structure. tRNAs have two regions of fundamental functional importance: the anti-codon, which is responsible for specific mRNA codon recognition, and the 3' end, to which the tRNAs corresponding amino acid is attached (by aminoacyl-tRNA synthetases). tRNAs cope with the degeneracy of the genetic code in two manners: having more than one tRNA (with a specific anti-codon) for a particular amino acid; and 'wobble' base-pairing, i.e. permitting non-standard base-pairing at the 3rd anti-codon position.
Source: RNAcentral